GACAGAGGGUGCGAACGUUGUUCGGAAUUACUGGGCGUAAAGCGUGUGUAGGCGGCAGCGCAAGUCGGGCGUGAAAUCCCACGGCUCAACCGUGGAAGUGCACUCGAAACUGCGCAGCUAGAGUCCUGGAGAGGAAGGUGGAAUGCUUGGUGUAGAGGUGAAAUUCGUAGAUAUCAAGCGGAACACCGGUGGCGAAGGCGGCCUUCUGGACAGUGACUGACGCUGAGACACGAAAGCGUGGGGAGCAAACAGG
RNAcentral lists this ribosomal RNA (253 nucleotides) under uncultured bacterium. Its description in RNAcentral is "partial 16S ribosomal RNA". It matches the Rfam family "Bacterial small subunit ribosomal RNA", at positions 524 to 776 of the family's 1533-position model. The record is from RNAcentral.